CUGAAAACAACAACCACACUGAAAACAACAAAACCAACACCAAACACAACAGCGCAUCGCCUUAAAUCGCAGCAAGAAAAGAAGAAAAUAAAUGCAAGCGUUUUAAAAAUAACAACAGCAACGCGUAAGCGCAACAGUAAAGCAUCGUUAGACGCGCAAACAAAAAAUAAAAAUAAUAAAAACAAGCAACAUUGCAGGCAACGCCGCAACAAAGUAGCUGCUACUGUCAAUGUAUUCCAUAAAAUAUUUCCACACUAUCUAACAAAUCACAAAUCAGUGUAUACAAAAACAAAAACAAAUAUAUAUAAUUGCGCCGCACAGUGUUUCGUGUACAACAACAGCAAUAACAACAUAAUAUUCUCAACGCGACAACAUUUUAAGCGGGCAGCGACAAGCAGUUUGAGUCACAACACCAAAAUGGAUAUAGAAUCAGACGACUCGGAACGCUGGGAGGACUUUUUUGGCAGCUCCACAGAAUUGGCACCAUCGCUUUUGGGCAUCUACGACACCUUGACGAGUGCGCUCGAGGCUAGCAACAAAAAUACAAACGAUAACAUUAACAACAAUAAUAAUAGUAACAUAAAUCAGCAGAACAGCAGUGGCGAAAAUAUAAAAAUAAGCGAAAACGGCGACGAGAACGCCUACAGCAUUGACGAGCAUUCUAACGGUAAUGUAAGCAUUGCAAGCAAUCACAGCGACUCACCGACGCUCAGCAAUAAGAGUAGUCGCAGUUCAAGUUUCAGCGCAGAGGAAAAGUUAAGCGCCGAAUAUAGUUUCCAUAUAGGCGGUUACAACAACAACAAUAACAAUAAUUGUAGCGACAGCAACAGUAAUAAGAGUAAUUGUUACGCUGUAGGGGAAGAGCGGCAGCAACCUUCACAUUCGCCUUCACCUGCGCUACCAAAGCGACAGUUAAACGAACAGUCCCCAGAGAUCGGAACUUUUUUGAGUGCUUCUACUGACAGCGGCUUUGGCGGCGGUCGCAACACCACGCUUGCUUUGCUCAACCUCGCCUAUAGCAACAGCCACAACAACAGCUUUCACGGCAUCCACAAUCACAACAUAAAACACACUUACAGUGCGAGUAGUCGCAGUCUCAAUUCGCUCUCAUCGUCGUCCUCGUGCAGUCAACGCAGUAGCAGCAGCGGCAGUGGAAGCGGUAGCGGUAGCGCAUGUCAUAAUAGCCCAACAGGCUCACGCUUGUCGCGCGAAACGCCAUUCGUCCACAGCUCGGGCAGCGGCGGCAGUCUCAACAGCCCCAGCAAACAUCGCAAUCAAAUACGCAUACUGUCACCCAAUGUCCAGCGCAUAAUUACACACUCUGAUGCGGAGCGCGUGGAAACUGUGGACAUAGACGCGCUACAGCAACAACCCACACACUUGACGAGUCCAACACAAUCGCCAGCGCUGCAUCACCGGUACGUGAAAAAAGCGCCACCACCAAGCGCGACUUCAACGCCGAACAGCAUACACAAAGUAAAGCUCUCACAUAUACCGCUCUCUAAGAUUACCGGGAAGUUAACGCAGUCGGGUAGCGAAUUAGUUGAGACCUUCGAUUCCAGUUCCGAGUACUUAGAUGCGCUCAACUUUCACUCGUAUACUGAGGCGAAGCCCGCGCGCGGUCUAAAGAAGCCACCGACGCCGGCUGUAGUUACCAUACCGUGUUUGGAGGGUUCUACUGGCGAUGGUGAGGUUACACCGACUAAUCAAAAUACCUCAGCCGUAAAAACGAACGAUUCCCUUGGUGCUUUCAACUUUAGCGCAAACUACAAGUUAUCACUGCCGAAUUAUGAACGCCAAGAAAGUAUUAAACUAAUUGAAAUGGAGCAAUUGGCCACCACAUCGCAAAUGUUAACUGCCGCAUGUGCACCGCCGCCACCAACCAGCUUGCCACUGGCGGUGGAACACCAACAAAAUCACAAUCACAAUAAUAAUAAUAUAAACAACAAUAAUAAUAUCUCUAGCGCGCUCAAUACACCACCACCAAUACCAUCCAAAGAGUUUAUCGCCACUGCACCUUUGUCACCCUCUGAUUUUGUAGAGACUUUGAACUAUCCGCUAAUCACAAAAGACCUCGCAUCCCUUACACUCAAUGAAAAGGACAGCAUGAACUCAUCCAUGACAAGCGUUGAACUCAUCGAAGCUAUUAAUAAGCCAGUGAUCUCUAAACCUUUAGUGCGCAGCUCGUCGGCAGCCUGUGCCUCAACUGUGUCCGGUUCACCGAUGCUCACCUAUGCGCGCUCUAAAAGCUUGGCAGCGAAGGCCAAUACUUUGGGCGGUGCAGUACCAAUAAAAUUGCCCACUGCACAGCAGUUGGAAGAGCUUGAGGAGGCGAGCAAAAUGUCGGCGGAGAGCUUAGAUCGCCUAACUGAUAUUAAGUCAAAGUUUUCGCCAAAAGAGUCACGCAAAGGUGGUCCAAUGCUGCCAGAGAUUGCCAAACUCAAACAUCGUCCGCUUUCUUCGUCUUCCAUUUGCUCAACAUCGUCUAGUUCUAGUUCCGGUUCGGAUCAUCUGAAUGGCAAGCUGGCCACAUCGUAUUUGGCGAGUGUUGAGAGUCUGGCCGAUCAAAGUGAGAAUGAACUUAUGGAUCCGCAUAGUGGUAUGACAGUUUUAGAGCGCGCUAUGCUAGAGAUAGUCGACUCUGAACGCAGUUUUGUGGAGGACUUGGGGCAGGUCAUAAAAGGUUAUCUAUCGGAUUGGAGGGAACGUGCCUGCCUACGUUAUGACGAACUGAAAAUACUCUUCUCAAAUAUUGAAGAGAUUUAUGAGUUCAACUCGACGCUCCUGAAGCAGUUAAUCAACUCUGGUAUGGACCCAGGAAAAAUAGCGAAAUGUUUUAUAGAAUUGCGCGAAAGAUUUGAUGUAUACACAACAUAUUGUACAAGUUAUCCUGAAGCCAUAUCACUGCUGACCAAACUGUUACAGGCCACACACACCAACGCACUGCUGACGUCCACACAAAAAAUGUUGCAACACAAAUUGCCACUCGGCUCAUAUUUGCUGAAGCCGGUGCAACGUAUACUUAAAUAUCAUCUGCUAUUGGACAACCUUCGUAAGCAUUGCGAUGUGAAGGAAGUGUUGCAAGCCUACGAAAUCAUGCGGCAAGUGGCGCGUAAUAUCGAUCAGGUGAAGCGUAAGUUGGAGCAACAAAUAAGAGUUAAAGAACUAUCUGGUAUAUUGGACGGUUGGUUGGGACCAGAACUCACCGUUUUGGGCGAACUCCGCCAAGAGGGUCUCCUCAUGGAACACAAUAAGCCACGCAUGGUCUUCCUUUUCGACACGAUGCUGAUCAUUACUAAGUCCAAAGAGGAUAAUCGUCUGCAAUUCAAGAGUUACAUACACCAAAAUAAUCUAAUGCUAAGCGAACAUUUACCCGGCGAACCGACGAGCUUUUAUGUAAUACCCUACCAUGAGCCGCGUAAUCAAAUCAAAUUGACAGCCAAAAAUCGUGACCAGAAACGUCUCUGGGCGCAACACAUUAAAGGAGUCAUACUCGAGAAAUUCGACAACAUACCAAAUCGCGCCAAGGAGUUGGUCUACAAGUUGGGCGAUGAGGAAGUAAAAUUUUAGAACAUGCGCACCACAGUAACUAACAAUUUAACACGAAAGUUUAGAAACGUAGCAAAAAUUUUGUUUAUAUCGUAACAAACAAACAAACAAAAAUACUCGUUAAAUCGGCCGUGAGAGGGUUAAACACGAAAGUAACCGCACACCGGACAAGAAUACCUGGAAGUGGAGUCUGCACUCGACUUCGACAACGCCCGUUUACUUGGAGCGACGCAAUCAGUACCGAC
Molecule: unclassified non-coding RNA, 3794 nt
Filed under: Bactrocera tryoni
Lineage: Eukaryota; Metazoa; Arthropoda; Insecta; Diptera; Tephritidae
Description: rhoGEF domain-containing protein gxcJ, transcript variant X3
Source: RNAcentral